AGGAUGAACGCUGGCGGUCUGCUUAACACAUGCAAGUCGAACGGAGUACCUCGGUACUUAGUGGCGGACGGGUGAGUAACGCGUGAGAAUCUGCCCUUAGGUCGGGGACAACCAUUGGAAACGAUGGCUAAUACCGGAUAAGCCGAGAGGUAAAAGAUUAAUUGCCUAGGGAAGAGCUCGCGUCUGAUUAGCUAGUUGGUGAGGUAAAGGCUCACCAAGGCAUCGAUCAGUAGCUGGUCUGAGAGGAUGAUCAGCCACACUGGGACUGAGACACGGCCCAGACUCCUACGGGAGGCAGCAGUGGGGAAUUUUCCGCAAUGGGCGAAAGCCUGACGGAGCAAGACCGCGUGAGGGAGGAAGGCUCUUGGGUUGUAAACCUCUUUCUUGGGAAGAACAAAAUGACGGUACCCAAGGAAUCAGCAUCGGCUAACUCCGUGCCAGCAGCCGC
Molecule: ribosomal RNA, 448 nt
Filed under: uncultured bacterium
Lineage: Bacteria
Description: SSU rRNA
Rfam family: Bacterial small subunit ribosomal RNA
Source: RNAcentral